Molecule: ribosomal RNA, 596 nt
Filed under: uncultured bacterium
Lineage: Bacteria
Description: bacterial SSU rRNA
Rfam family: Bacterial small subunit ribosomal RNA
Source: RNAcentral
ACUCCCAUGGUGUGACGGGCGGUGUGUACAAGGCCCGGGAACGUAUUCACCGCGGCUGCUGGGACAAUCACUAGUGAAUUCACCAACACGACGGACAAUGAACACUCAUUGUUGGUUAUUACUGUUCAGUGAGAAAACAACAACGAUAAGUGAUCCACCUGGGGAGUACGAUCGCAAGGUUGAAACUCAAAGGAAUUGACGGGGGCCCGCACAAGCGGAGGAGCAUGUGGUUUAAUUCGAUGAUACGCGAGGAACCUUACCCGGGCUUGAAGGUAAGACGAAUAUAUGGGAAACCAUAUAGCCUACGGGCGUCUUGCUAGGUGCUGCAUGGUUGUCGUCAGCUCGUGCCGUGAGGUGUUAGGUUAAGUCCUGCAACGAGCGCAACCCCUACUAAUAGUUGCCAGCACGUUAAGGUGGGAACUCUAUUAGAACUGCCUACGCAAGUAGAGAGGAAGGUGGGGAUGACGUCAAAUCAGCACGGCCCUUAUGUCCGGGCUACACACGUGCUACAAUGUCAUAUACAGAGGGCAGCUACUCGGUGACGAGAUGCUAAUCUUAAAAGUAUGUCUCAGUUCGGAUUGCAGUCUGAAACUCGA